Molecule: ribosomal RNA, 477 nt
Filed under: uncultured organism
Description: partial 16S ribosomal RNA
Rfam family: Bacterial small subunit ribosomal RNA
Source: RNAcentral
GUACACUCCUGCGGGAGGCAGCAGUGGGGAAUAUUGCACAAUGGGCGCAAGCCUGAUGCAGCCAUGCCGCGUGUAUGAAGAAGGCCUUCGGGUUGUAAAGUACUUUCAGCGGGGAGGAAGGCGAUAAGGUUAAUAACCUUGUCGAUUGACGUUACCCGCAGAAGAAGCACCGGCUAACUCCGUGCCAGCAGCCGCGGUAAUACGGAGGGUGCAAGCGUUAAUCGGAAUUACUGGGCGUAAAGCGCACGCAGGCGGUCUGUCAAGUCGGAUGUGAAAUCCCCGGGCUCAACCUGGGAACUGCAUUCGAAACUGGCAGGCUAGAGUCUUGUAGAGGGGGGUAGAAUUCCAGGUGUAGCGGUGAAAUGCGUAGAGAUCUGGAGGAAUACCGGUGGCGAAGGCGGCCCCCUGGACAAAGACUGACGCUCAGGUGCGAAAGCGUGGGGAGCAAACAGGAUUAGAAACCCCAGUAGUCCCAUG